RNAcentral lists this microRNA precursor (75 nucleotides) under Bursaphelenchus xylophilus (pine wood nematode). RNAcentral describes it as "mir-86 microRNA precursor family". It matches the Rfam family "mir-86 microRNA precursor family". The record is from Rfam by way of RNAcentral. Lineage: Eukaryota; Metazoa; Nematoda; Chromadorea; Rhabditida; Aphelenchoididae.
CCCCUGGUUAAGUGAAUACUUUGCCACAGUCUUAGAAUAUGGCAUAGCUGGGCCAAGGUUCGCUUAAACCGGUGU